CCUACGGGUGGCAGCAGUGAGGAAUAUUGGUCAAUGGGCGCUAGCCUGAACCAGCAAAGUAGCGUGAAGGAUGACUGCCCUAUGGGUUGUACACUUCUUUUAUAUGGGAAUAAAGUGCAGUAUGUAUACUGCUUUGCAUGUACCUUAUGAAUAAGGAUCAGCUAACUCCGUGCCAGCAGCCGCGGUAAUUCGGAGGAUCCGAGCGUUAUCCGGAUUUAGUGGGUUUAAAGGGAGCGUAGGCGGGUUGGUAAGUCAGUUGUGAAAGUUUGCGGCUCAACCGUAAAAUUGCAGUUGAUACUGGCAUUCUUGAGUACAGUAGAGGUAGGCGGAAUUCGUGGUGUAGCGGUGAAAUGCUUAGAUAUCACGAAGAACUCCGAUUGCGAAGGCAGCCUGCUGGACUGUAACUGACGCUGAUGCGCGAAAGUGUGGGUAUCAAACAGGAUUAGAUACCCCUGUAGUC
RNAcentral lists this ribosomal RNA (460 nucleotides) under uncultured bacterium. RNAcentral's name for it is "partial 16S ribosomal RNA". It matches the Rfam family "Bacterial small subunit ribosomal RNA", at positions 338 to 795 of the family's 1533-position model. The record is from RNAcentral.